Molecule: RNA transcript, 4512 nt
Organism: Sorghum bicolor (sorghum)
Lineage: Eukaryota; Viridiplantae; Streptophyta; Magnoliopsida; Poales; Poaceae
Gene name: putative disease resistance protein RGA3
Exons: 5
Source: RefSeq, a predicted model, not a curated record
UAAAGCAUGAAAGAGAAACACCAUGCGAAUCUUCCUUGCAAGCGGCUAUGGCGGAAUUAUUCUUCCUGCUUCCACUGAUCCAAGUUACGAAUAAAAACUGUGACACGCGUUGGUCGAAUAUAUUUGCAAAUUUUCACCAAGCCAACCGCUCUCUCUCUCCUAUAUGUAAAUAAAUAUCUACAAAAGCAUCCCACAAGCAGCACGGAGCAGAAGCGCGGCGCUCUGUUCGUCUGCUGUGUCCACCCAAUUCCCUGCUCAUGGCGGCGGUGCUGGACGCGUUUGCGUCCAAGCUGGCGGACAUCCUGGUUGGCAUGGCGAAGGAGAAGGUGGAGUUGCUUCUCGGUGUCCCGGGCGAGAUCACCAAGCUCGAGACGACGCUCGGUGACCUGAGCAGGAUCCUGGCUGACGCUGAGAGGAGGCGCAUCCGCGACUCUGCUACGGAUGGAUGGGUCAGGGAGCUCAAGGAUGUCAUGUACGACGCCGACGACAUCCUUGAUCUCUGCCAGAUCAUGGAGGGUGGAGAAGAAGAAGAUCCCUCAUCAUCAGUUUCUGCUCCGAAAACGAAAAGCACUUCAGGGUGCUGGAACUGGAACAUCCCCAAGAUGUUCUUUUGCCUCCGCAACCCUGUUGUCGUGCAUGAGAUUGGAAAGAAGAUCCAAGCCCUCAACCAGCGACUGGAGGACCUUGAGAAGAGGAGCUCCCGCUUCGGAUUCAUCACGCAGGCAAUCAACUCCUCAGAUUAUCCCGUCAACAAUGCUUCCAAUUUGUUGUCAGAGAAGACUAGUUCACUCAUUGUCCCGUCUGAUGUUGUCGGUGACAAGAUCAUGGAGGAUACAAAGGAAAUUGUUGAUCUACUAAUCAAGAAGGUGGAUACUCCUGCUAAAUCCAAGAGCAACAACGUGGUUGUUGCUGUUGCUAUCACUGGCAUGGGUGGGAUAGGCAAAACAACCCUUGCUAGGAUGGUUUUCAAUGACAAUAAAAUAGAGGAGAACUUUGAGGAUAGAAUCUGGUUGAGUGUUAACCAGGAAGUCAACGAGAUCAGUGUCCUACAAAGUGUUCUAGCUUCUUUUGGUGCCAACCAAAACCAUGAAGGCUUUGCGGGAAACAAGGACCUGCUCGAGCGUGCUUUGAUGAAGAUGGUCGAGCAAAAGAAGAAGUUUUUGUUGGUGAUGGAUGAUGUGUGGGGAGAAAAGGUGUGGAACGACCUGCUUAGAGUGCCACUCAGUUAUGGUGCUCCUGGUAGUCGUGUCUUGGUGACCACAAGAAAUGAUGAAGUUGCUCGUGGGAUUAAUGCCCAACAUCUCCAUCGAGUUGACAAGCUGCAAACAGAAGAUGCUUGGGUUUUACUAAAAAACCAGGUAGUUCUAAAUGAAAGUGAUGACGGCUAUGUCAAUGAAUUAAAGGGCAUUGGAAUAAAAAUUGUGGAAAACUGUGAUUGCUUACCGUUAGCAGUUAAGGUGCUUGGAGGAGUCUUGCGCCGCAAAAGUAAAACAAGAGACACUUGGACGGAUAUUUGUAACUACACUUGGCCGGCAGAAGGAAUAGACAGAGAUAUUGACAGAGCGGUCUAUUUAAGUUAUGAAGACUUGCCUUCACACCUGAAGCAGUGUUUUCUGUAUUGUUCACUUUUCCCUAAAGAUGAGUUGAUAAGAUUGGGAGAUAUAGUCCGGCUUUGGAUUGCACAAGGUUACAUACAAGACAAGAUAACCUCAAAGACACUAGAAGAUCUGGGGGAGGACUAUUACAAAGAAUUACUUUCAAGAAAUCUUCUAGACCCAGAUAAAAGAUCCUAUGGUCAAACAGCAUGCACCAUGCACGACGUCAUUCGUUCGUGUGCUCAGUCUAUAAUAAAAGACGAAGGAGUACUUAUUAGUGGGAGCCAGGAUGUUAGUAGGACUCUUAUUAGCACAACAAAGCUUCGUCACCUCUCUAUAUCAAACAAGACAGUAAUGAUAGACACUUUGCAAAAACAAGUUUCGCUUAGAACAUUAAUGUUAUUUGGAAGCACCAUGGUUGAGCUGAAGGAUUUAUUGAGCCACCUUUCUUGUCUAAGAGUACUAUCUCUAGAUAAUGUAAAUCUAGUUGAGUUGCCGGAUUCCAUAUGCCACCUCAAACAUUUAAGGAACUUGUGUCUUUCUGGCACAAGCAUUUCCACAAUCCCUCGAGACAUAGGGGAUCUAAAAUUUCUUGAAGAUAUUGACCUUUUUGGGUGUAGAAACGUCUCUCGGCUUCCUAAUAGCAUUCUGAAGCUACAGAAGUUAAACUCACUCAACUUAAUUGGCACGACCAUCACUUCAAUUCCUUGUGGCUUCCACAAGCUAAAAGAUUUAGUGAACUUGUGUGGUUUUCCAACAGAUUCAAAUGAUAGCACAGAUGGCUGGUGCAGCUUAGAAGAACUAGGGCCUCUGUCGAAGCUCAAACAACUUAAUAUAAAGAAUUUGGAGAAGGCACCUUCUGGUUCUAUGGCUGCUAAAGCAAUGCUUAGCAAUAAACAUCAUUUGAUAAGCUUAGAUUUGAUAUUUACCAGCAGGCUCGGAGAAAAUUGGGUGUUGAAAGACGACAUCAGCGAGGAAGAGCACGAGAGAAUAGGGGAGGUGCUGGCUAAUCUCUGCCCUCCAACUUGCAUAGAAAACCUGGAGAUCAGAGGAUACUUUGCACGUGGGCUACCACAGUGGAUGAGAGCAAUGUCAGCCUUUGGGAGUUUAAGUCGGUUCGUGCUAAAGGACUACGCAUGCUGCAUGCAACUGCCUAAUGGAUUGGGGCAGCUCCCCUUUCUUGAUCACUUUUGGAUCGAACGUGCUCCCUCCAUCCAAGGUAUUGGGCAUGAUCUCCUCCUCCCCUCCCACUCCUUGUUGGGUGAUGACGGUGAUGGGGCAUCGGUGCAGAUAGGAGAACAGAACAAAAGGAGGCAGCCACAUCAUAUUUCGCAUGGUACCGGUGCUGCCUUUCCUAAGCUUAGAAACCUUGGUUUUAUUGGCAUGUUCGAAUGGACAGAGUGGGAGUGGGAGCAGCAUGUAGUUGCAAUGCCUGUUCUAGAGUCGCUUCGUGUUCAGCACUGUAAACUACAAUGUUUUCCCAUAGGACUUGCACAUCAUGCAUCCCAAUUGAGAUAUUUGACUCUACAAAAUAUCAGCCACUUGGUCUCUAUAGAGAACUUCCCUUCACUAGUCAAACUUUGGUCAUAUAACAACCCAAGAUUAGAGAGGAUCAGCAACAACAAAAACUUGGAAUGGAUUGACAUUAGCAGCUGCCCAGCAUUGAAGGAAUUGGAUCGUUUGCCAUCUCUCCAAAGCCUCGAGUGGUGGGAUUUGCGUGCUAAAGCACUCCCACAAUACUUACAAAAGACAAAGCUAAAUAAGUUGCAUGUGGACUGCAGCCCAAGCUUGCUCAAACUGAUAGCAUUACAAGAUGACUCCUCUGAGUGGGGAAAGAUCAAGCACGUCCAGGAGCUAAAGGCAUAUGGGAGGGCGUCAACUGAAGAUGAGGUCGACCGUCAUAUAUACUACACCAAGGAGCCGUAUUCCUUCGACGUAUACUUGGGCGAGUCCACAGAUUGAGAUGAGGAGGAAGAAAAUGAGGUGAUGGAAGAAUAGAAGCGAGGAAUGACGCAGAAAUAAUUUGAAGGGUAGAGGAAGGUGGUUCAGACUUCAGACUGCUACCCCAGAGCACUCCAUUCCAUCCAACAACGUCGCUUAUCGUUAUGAGAAAACCUGUGUUUCCGUUAAGCAGGUUGCAUUGGUGCCUGAAAUCGGGUGGUGAUGGUAGGCUAGUGUUGUCAUACGCUCACACUCUCGACCGAAUGUUACAAAUAUUUAUCUCAGGAGAGGAAAGGAACGCCCGCAGAGCCCCCGCGGAUCCGGAUGCGACUUGUGGCAGGCAGGCACCGGAGCGGAGCUUCUGGCGGCGCUGCUCCGGGCUGCCGCUGAUCGCGCGCGGGCAUCAGGCAGGCUACUGGAGGCCGGAUGAGGCGCGGGCGCCCCAGUUCGUCAGAGGCAGGGCGAGCAAAGAGGGGCGGACGCCAAAGCUGCGAGAGGCGGCACCCGACUGAUGAAACGGGCGCCGAGCGAGGCAGCGGCCGCACAGAGAGAAAAAAACGAAGCCGGAAGCCCGGAACCGGAAGUUGCGAGCUGACACUCGUCCAUUGGUGUUCAAAACUGAAGAUGCCACCGUUUCGUGGUUGGAUUUUUACCAUUUUUACCACUUGUUUGCUGUCUUAUUUUGUAGCGCUUCAUGUUGUGAUGUGAUCCCCGGCCCGAAAGUACAGUAGCAUAACACAUUGCAGAGAGCACGGGAGAUCUCUCCGCUCUUCAGAACGCGUUACGCUGAUUUUUUGAGCAGAGUGUGUUAACUCGCUGUGUUGGCCAAGAAGUGAUUGUGCUUUGCCAAACACUUGCAUUGGCUCUGAUGGUUUCUGUUGGUGUAAAUAGAGAAAGACACUAAUUGCCAAAUAAGACGAAAAUACUACAUUCUCUACCCUUUGUUAAUGCAAUAGCAGAGAAAACAGAUUUUUUU